RNAcentral lists this unclassified non-coding RNA (345 nucleotides) under soil metagenome. Its description in RNAcentral is "partial contains 5.8S ribosomal RNA, internal transcribed spacer 2, and large subunit ribosomal RNA". The stretch from base 1 to 120 matches the Rfam family "5.8S ribosomal RNA", at positions 35 to 154 of the family's 154-position model. The record is from RNAcentral.
GAUGAAGAACGUAGCGAAAUGCGAUAAGUAGUGUGAAUUGCAGAAUUCAGUGAAUCAUCGAAUCUUUGAACGCACGUUGCGCCCUUUGGUAUUCCUUAGGGCAUGCCUGUUCGAGCGUCAUUUCAACCCUCAAGCCCUGCUUGGUGUUGGGCGUUUGUCCUGCCUCCGCGCGGGACUCGCCUCAAAGACAUUGGCGGCCGGUUUCCCUUUGCAGGCCACGAGCGCAGCACAGCGAGCGCUCUACGUGGACGCGGGGUCGGCGCACCAGAAGCCCUCUUUCUCGAAUUUUGACCUCGGAUCAGGUAGGGAUACCCGCUGAACUUAAGCAUAUCAAUAAGCGGAGGA